AGCCUGCCCAGUGACUAAGUUAAACGGCCGCGGUACCCUAACCGUGCAAAGGUAGCGCAAUCACUUGUUCUUUAAAUGAGGACUAGUAUGAACGGCAUCACGAGGGUUACACUGUCUCCCUAUUCCAUUCAGUGAAACUGAUCUUCCCGUGAAGAAGCGGGAAUAUAAAUAUAAGACGAGAAGACCCCAUGGAGCUUUAAACUCAAUGUCAUCUGCCACUUCAAUACCCUCUUAAUUACGCAGACCAUGAUAACUAGUUUUCGGUUGGGGUGACCGCGGAGUAAAACAAAACCUCCACAACGAAAGGAACUAACAACCUAAUCCAAGAGCAACAUCUCUAAGAAUCAACAAAUUGACUUAAUUGAUCCAAUUACUUGAUCAACGAACCAAGUUACCCUGGGGAUAACAGCGCAAUCCAUUUCAAGAGCUCAUAUCGACAAAUGGGUUUACGACCUCGAUGUUGGAUCAGGGUAUCCCAGUGGCGCAGCAGCUACUAACGGUUCGUUUGUUCAACGAUUAAA
RNAcentral lists this ribosomal RNA (521 nucleotides) under Microhyla nilphamariensis. Its description in RNAcentral is "partial 16S ribosomal RNA". It matches the Rfam family "Bacterial large subunit ribosomal RNA", at positions 1856 to 2592 of the family's 2925-position model. The record is from RNAcentral. Lineage: Eukaryota; Metazoa; Chordata; Amphibia; Anura; Microhylidae.